GAUGAAGAACGCAGCGAAAUGCGAUACGUAAUGUGAAUUGCAGAAUUCAGUGAAUCAUCGAGUCUUUGAACGCACAUUGCGCCCCCUGGUAUUCCGGGGGGCAUGCCUGUCCGAGCGUCAUUGCUGCCCUCAAGCACGGCUUGUGUGUUGGGCCUCCGUCCACCUCCCGGGGGACGGGCCCGAAAGGCAGCGGCGGCACCGCGUCCGGUCCUCGAGCGUAUGGGGCUUCGUCACCCGCUCUUGUAGGCCCGGCCGGCGCUUGCCGACACAUCAAUCUUUUUUCCAGGUUGACCUCGGAUCAGGUAGGGAUACCCGCUGAACUUAAGCAUAUCAAUAAGCGGAGGA
Molecule: unclassified non-coding RNA, 345 nt
Filed under: soil metagenome
Description: partial contains 5.8S ribosomal RNA, internal transcribed spacer 2, and large subunit ribosomal RNA
Rfam family: 5.8S ribosomal RNA (bases 1-120)
Source: RNAcentral